AUCUUUUUUUUUUUUUAAGAUUUUAUUUAUUUAUUCAUAGAGACAUAGAGAGGCAGAGACACAGGCAGAGGGAGAAGCAGGCUCCAUGCAAAGAGCCUGACAUGGGACUCGAUCCAGGGUCUCCAGGAUCAUGCCCCGGGCUGCAGGCGGGGCAUGAUCCACCAGGGCUGCCCUGAGAUUAUCUUUUAUAAAAUUAUUGAGACGGGCUCCUACUAAUAAAUUUAGGAGGAAUGGAAUUCAUAGAUCUCCCAUUUGAGAAAUUCUAACACAUAAUCUUACAGAGGAUGAGAACAAUAAAGCAUGCAGCCUAAAAUAUAUAAAAUAACAUUAAUUUUGUAAUUUCCUAGUGUAAGGGCAAUUUUUAAGUUGGUAACAGUUGAAAAAUUCUAAUAUAAAGUAGAUGCAGCAGUCACAAAGGAAGCCUCAGAACUUUCAUGAUGACAAGCAGUGACCUUGCAUUUCAUUUCCCUCAUACAGCCUAAUAAAAGAAGAUGGUUCCACAAAUCCUUUUUUCUUGUGCCUGUGUAAAAUGCAUGUCACAGGUCAGAGGCACCAGCAGAGCCAGCAUUUUAUUCCUCAUUUAUCUCAGGUUUUUUUCUGUAUAUUCUCUUGCUUUCCAUGGUCCACUUUACCCCCUCCAUCCUGCUCCCACUGGAACCAGCAGUCAGCUUGCUUGCUUGCUUUUUUUGUUGAAGGGAGAUCACUUUUCAGAAAGAAAUACCCUCUUUAUGUCUCUCAGUGAGAUGUACUGAGUACGCAUUGGCAAGUAGAGAGCAAGCAAGCUGUGUUGACAUACAGACAUUAGGCUGUUGGCUAGACAUUGAACUUAGCUUGCUUGCCCCUUCUCAAAUGCCAGCUUCAAUAAAAUUUCAGAUGUCUCUGUUUUGGAACUGUUCAGCUCACUUACGAAUAGUCAAAGCUGUGAUUGCUGUACUCACACCUACCAUGGGAUGUAUUGCUGGGAUCAAAACCUCAGAUGCUUGCAGGUGCAAUGGAGGUCAUGUACCUUGCUGAGUGGGUCUGAUCGGCCUGCUCUCUUUAUGCUUCUGAUAGAAACAAUAAGAAACAUCUUUUUUUACUACAACAUAGACAGCAGUGAUAAUCUAGAUGGUAAAUGGUAACUGAAAUUUGUCUCAUUCAGGGGGGGCCUGCAAGGAAAGACACUGGGGAAGGUUGGAUGUGGGACAGUGUGAGCUUACUUUGGAAGGAUGGGUUGGUGUUUGUUAUUGGACAAGGAAGAGAGAGAGGGACAGACAUUCUGGGCAGAGGUUGCAGUGUGUGCAGGGACACAGAGGACAGCAGAGUCUGGCACGUUUGGUGGGACUUGAGUGCAGAGGCGAUGCUACAGGCAGAGGUGGGAGUGGGAAGUUAGGAGGCCUGAAACAGUGGAGAGCCCCAUGUCAUGCUAAUGUCGGCACCUUUUCCAGUAGGCCAGGGAGAGCGGUGGAAAACUUGGGGCACGUGAGACCAACAUUUCAGAAAGAUGACCCUUGGUUGUGCCGUGAAGGGCUUGUGAAUCCAGAGACCAGUGAGGAGCGCUGUGGUCGUGUAGGCUGAGGGGAAGGGCCCCCACCAUGCCCAGCCCCGGAAGCUGGUCAGUAUUUUCCAAUGUCAAGGUAGUGAAAUGGAGUAGCGGAGACUGCAAGCUCCUCUCCUGCUCAGUCUGCCGUGCCUUUUUUUAAAGCUUCUGAUUAAACUCAGUGCAGAAACAUUCAGUGUGUUUAGAGCUUCCAAACACAGAUUAGUGGACGCCUUACCCUUACAUUGCUAAAUGAGGGGUCCCUAAGUGUGGGUGGCAUUGUAAAAUAGGGAGUAGGUGAAGUCUGUAGUGACAGAGUAGCUGCUUGAGUUAAAGAUGUUGGUCACAGGUUACGAACUUUCAGCUCUAAGAUGAGUACAUUCUGGGGAUCUGAUGGACAGCAUUGUGGCUGCAGUUAAUUUUGUAUUGUAUGCUUGAAAAUUGCUAUGAGACUAGAUCUUAAGCAUGUUGACCCCCUCCACACACAAAAAGGUAACUGUGAGGUGAUCGACAUGUAGAUUAACUUGAUGGUGGCAGUCAUUUCACAGUGUAUAUCAGAUCCUUAAGUUGUCCCCUGGAGAUGUAUCCAGUUUUGUCAGUUACACCUCAGGAAAGCUGAGAAAAAAAUAGGGAGUAGGUACACUAAGGGAGAGAUGGGAUAAGAAUAAAUGGGGUGAGAUUUACACCAAAGCAAGAACUUAAAAUAAUUUGGGCAUUAGUAAAGUCAAUAAUAGCUUAUUUGUAAUAUUAAGAAUACCUUACUAUUGGAUUACCUACCUGUGAAGUUUUCAGGCUAAAAGUGAAUCCUCUGAUUUUAAUGCUGCUGGACCAGGAUAGGAUUUUAGGCAUUGUGAUAAAAUGAGGAGACACAAGAGUUGUCCUUGUUGUUACUAAUUGUUGGCAGUUAUGUUACAUUGUGGGCCCAUUUCACUGAUCAGCCCUUUGCGUUUUUCCCACAUGUUACAGCUAGAUCACAUCUCUUCUGACCUGUAUUUGUUCAUUUUGCACAUGUUGCCAUUGUCAGCAUCAGCAUCAUUUUAUUUUGGACCCUGAAAUUAUUGAUGCUAGAUUUAUCUUUCAUACUAGUUUAUUGGAUUAACUUAUUAGAAUCCUUAUUACUACACUGUAAUAUAUUUGGUAUUUUGCCCAUUCUUUUCAUCUACAGAUUGAGAAAUGGGUUUCCUGGGUCAUCAUCGAGUUCAUUAAUGAAAAGCACAAGAAAAACAGGCCAAAUUGACAUCAUCCUAUAAUUAGUGCCCUUUGAGAAAGGUUGAGCACCAUCAAAUUAAUCUACAUGUCGAUCGCCUCACAGUUACCUUUUUGUGUGUGGAGGGGGUCAGCAUGCUUAAGAUCUAGUCUCAUAGCAAUUUUCAAGCAUACAAAACAACCCUCUAUAGUCUUUUGUAUACAGUAUGUGUCUCUUCAUCUUGCUCAUAAAUAUCUUUAAAGCAUUUAGAAAAGCUCUUGCUGACACUUGGUUUUCUCAGUUCAGUUGCCUUAUCAAGUAAGAAGGUAAGGUGAGUAAGGGGGUAUGGGUGGGCUGAGGUUCAUUGGCCCAGGGUCCCUUUCCUGAUAUGUUCUGUAAUCUUACCCAGCAUCAAUGUCAAGCUCACGUCUCUUCUCUCAUCUGUAGAAUGUGCUUUCUUGACAGGAUAUCCCACAGAACAUCCUUUUCCAAAAACAGUUUGGCCAGAAACCAGUUAUUUCUGUUGUAUUUUUCAUUCUCUAUUUCGCUCUAUUUAGAAGUUUCGAGUGAAUGUAAGGUGAAGUAUUGCGCUUCCACAUGCUUAAAAGAUGUCAUAGAUUAUGGUCAGAAGCUAAAGAUUUUGUUUUAAUUCUUUUUUCCCUGUUUUCCUUUUGAGAAGCAUUUACAUUCUAAAAUAAUGCUUAGGACUUGGACAUCUGGAUUUAAAUAAUGCUAUAAAGAAAAGAAAAGGACCAUUUGAAUUCUUUUGGAGAGGAGAGAGCUUUGAGAUUCUGACCCCAAAGAGUGUUAAGAAAACAUUCAGGCACAUUUUGGUCAAUAUCUGUGCACUGAAAUAUAAAUCUUCAAACAGUUUAUAUUUUAAGAUUAUUUCAACAGCAAGUCCAGAAUUUUUUAAUGCCAAUACAUUUUGAAAACAGGUUGUUAACUGGUGCCCUAAGAACUGUACUUGGCCUACAAAUAUGUUUUCUUUGGCUCACAUAGUGUUUCAUAAAGAGUUAGUUGCCAACAUUUAAAAAUAAGGAGAUUUCACGUUAUAAAACCAAACCUGCAUUCCUGUUCCUUUUUGAAAAUCUUGAUGGUCUAUGACUACACUGGACCACGUUCUACAUGGUGGUUGUAUAGAAGUAAAGCACCAGCAGGAGGCUACCCACCGCCGCUGUGCACUCCUUACUCCGUCCCUGUGGCCAGCCUCACUCACUUCAUCGGGCUGGUCCUCAGGGUGGGUUUGAGCUCGUACCUGCCGAGUCAGAGAGCUAGCUAACUAAAAGUAUACCUCAAGGUUGGGAGGAGAAUAGUAAGGUGGAAGCAAUUUGAGAUUUUGUUCCCUGAACGUAGGUUGUUUGAGCUCGGUCAUGAUGUGAGGACUGGCAGUGCUUGGGAAAGUAAGUGGGGUAAUUCUCCCAGGAGCGGUGUUCGGCUGGGCAGUGUGGAGAGCAGCCUCCCUCGUGGCAUUCUAGAUCUGCUAGUUCAAGGCGACAGGCAGGCUGUCCUAGGAAUCGAGUUGCUGUGCAUUUCUUAGGGGAGGUGGAAAGUAGGGGAGGUAGGCCCUAGGGCGCUGUCAUGGGAUUUUAGUGAUGUUAGGAGAUUUGUCCGAGGAGGUCACAUACCUGCCACCUGAUCAGUGGUGGGGUACGGACCGGAGCCCAGGACACGUGACUCUGGUUCAGUGAUAUUUUCUUUUUCCACUCCAUGUUUUUCACUUAUGUGUAAUGGGCUAGAGAUGAGGUUGGUAACCAGGCUUGGACUCAAAUCCAAGUUCUGCCCCUGACUAGCUGUGUGACCUCAGGCAAGUGUCAAAAACCUGUCUGUGCCUCAUUUUCCUUGUUAUAAAGAAGGGGAGAAUGAUGAUACUGGCCUCAUCAGGUGGGUAUAGGGAUUUAAUCUGAUACUGCAUUUGAGGAACUUAAAAUGGUGCCUGCCGAUAAUAAAUAGUGCAUUAACACUGCGUGAUACCUGAAAAAUAACAUUUAUAAAUUGUGUAUUAUCACAGCAGACUUAGCUAAAAGUAGCAUUUCAACCACACAAUACUAAUGCAUAAUAUUUUCUUCCUCUUAGAAUUUAGGAAGGAUUUAUAGGAUAAUUUUGCUCCAUGUAUUCUUUUGAAAAGCCUCCAAAAAAAAAAAAAA
This 4852-nucleotide long non-coding RNA is filed under the name Canis lupus familiaris (dog). RNAcentral describes it as "lncRNA (ENSCAFG00845003502.1)". Lineage: Eukaryota; Metazoa; Chordata; Mammalia; Carnivora; Canidae. The record is from RNAcentral.